Molecule: non-coding RNA, 2268 nt
Organism: Poecilia reticulata (guppy)
Lineage: Eukaryota; Metazoa; Chordata; Actinopteri; Cyprinodontiformes; Poeciliidae
Source: RefSeq, a predicted model, not a curated record
UUAGGUCUCAUGGCAUCUCAAGGUGUCAACAUUGCAGCCAGUGGGCUGAGGGAAAUACAGCCUUAUUUUGUAGCAAUUAAAGAGCUACUCAGCUUUUAUAGCUUCGCAAAAAAACAUUAGCAGCACUGAAGCUCCAAAGCAAUAUGGUAAAUGAGAUGUACAAAGUAUUCAUAACUUGUAAAUUUCAAACUUUUGUGUUGUAGCUGCACAUUUUAGUCAUUUUUUUAAGGAUCUAUGUGAUAGAUCACUUGAAAGGGCUGCAUAGGUUUGAAGAGGAAAUACAUCAUUUCCGGAACAUGGACAUUUUUGUCUAUUCUUUGCAAAAUAGCUCAACCUCAAAUAGAAUUGAAGUCAUCUGUGAACAUGUUAUAGGUUUAGCUUUCAGUUAGGUAUAAGUCUGCUUUGUCUGGGCCAUUCUAACACAUGAACAUGCUUUGAUUUAAACUGUUUUAGGUAAUCUCACUGAAAGGACAUGAUGCUUCCACCGUUAUGUUUUACUCCAGGGAUGAUGUCCUUAAUGUGAUGUUUAAGAGUAACUUUUCUGCCACAUGGUGCUUUUCCUUUAAUGACCUGUCUGCUGUGUUCCCUGGUUUUCAUUAUGCUAUUUUUCUCUGAUUUUGAACAAACCUCUAAGGCCAUCAAAUGUAUUUAUGUUAGAAUUAAAUAGCAAAAACAAGGAUCCUGUUUUAAUAAACCAGGGAACUUCUGCUUCCCACAGUUUGGCGCUGACCCAAACAUCGGGAAGCACUGGCCUAAUUGAAAAAGUGCGUGAUUAUUUACGUGCUCCAAAACAGCAAUCGACCUCUUCUGCAGCUGUAUUUAAGACUGGAGCGCAGUGCAGCUCCGAGUUCGGCUGCUGUAAUGUGGCGAAUUAGCUUCAUGUUAGAGACCCCGGCUGACCCCCAUUAUACAGUCAGGGACACAUUUAAUUAGCGGCAGCUCACGUGAAACGACAAAAUGUAUUAAUAUUAAUGGAGGUUUAAUUGAGGUCGCUUUGGUCCCCCGUUGAGGCUUUCAACCUCUAAAAUGGCUGACGUGUGAUAGCGCGAGCAGAGAGAGCCCAGAGCCCAGGCUCGCCAUUUCGUAUGUGACCCCGGAGAAGAUGACAACCAUCUCCCAUAAUUCAUCUGAAGAUGUCACCUUCCUGACAAAUGAACAGGAGCCAUGGGCAGUGUGUGUGUGUGUGCGCGCGCGCGCGUGUGUGUGUGAUGGUGCUGCAGGCAAUUUAGUUAUACUUGUGAGGACUCACUGCGACGAUUUGGCCCGUCCUCGUAGGGACGCAGCUGACUUUCAAGUUAGUUUACUGUGUGUGUUCAAGCAUCUAUACGUGGGCUAUCCACAUGUUCAUGUAAAUAUGAAGGUCAUGCCUAGAAGGAUAAUUAAUGUUGCUGCAUUUUUUAUAUAUAUAUAUAUAUAUAAUUUUAAGUCAAAUCUUGGAACUGCUCCCUCUGGAGGAUCAACUGUCCAAUUUAAUUUAGGCUACAGAGCGAGUAAAUGGAAACUCAACAGCCAUGUCUUUGCACCCUGGGACACAGUCUCCAUACCUUUCUUCUUCUCCUUUUUUUUUAAAUCAAGACAAUGCAACAGGUUGGCAAGGGGCCUGUCAUAUGUCACCAAUCUCCCCCAGAGGGACUGUCUGCAGAACAUGUUGAGCAGACUUCAGGAAAGGAUUAACAAGAAGAUCACAGCAAUCCUGGCCCAGCACUUUGUUUAGCAGGCUUCCUCCUUUGGAUGCCCUGAGAGAACCAAGGAAUGCACAGGGAGAACAUGUAAACUCCAUGCAGAAAGACUUCAAGCCGGGAUUCAAACCCAGGACCUUCUUGCAGCAAGGCAUCAUAUCUAAUAUUCCACAUUGGUAGCCUAAUAGUUAGACAUAGCUCUUUAUUUAGGUUGAAAACCUAAAUCAUCAUGCUCGUACCCCAUCCCUGUUGCGUCCAGUCAAUCCAGGGUUGGAUGGAUCCGUACAUGUUUAGCCCAAGACAGCCUGGGUGAGAAAAAUCAAUUGGAUUGUUUUCGACCCAGCAGUUUUUAGAGUGUAGUCAGAGAGCAGAGAGGCAUCAGCUUAUUGAAAGUAAAGUGAACCAUGAGACAGUUAAUUUCCACUGUUUGUGCUUCAGAACAUACAGACUAAGAAACAAUUUAUCUAAAUCAGUAGUGUGGGAUAAGAUUGCAGGACCUUCUUUUCCUUUCAAAUGCCAAUUGUUUGACUUUUGGCAUUUAAAGGUCAAAUAUUAAAAGUAUGAGAAUUAAAUUUGUCUUUAUGAGGUU